ANNUGCAGUCGACGCGUUGGCCCAAUUGAUUGAUGGUGCUUGCACCUGAUUGAUUUUGGUCGCCAACGAGUGGCGGACGGGUGAGUAACACGUAGGUAACCUGCCCAGAAGCGGGGGACAACAUUUGGAAACAGAUGCUAAUACCGCAUAACAACGUUGUUCGCAUGAACAACGCUUAAAAGAUGGCUUCUCGCUAUCACUUCUGGAUGGACCUGCGGUGCAUUAGCUUGUUGGUGGGGUAACGGCCUACCAAGGCGAUGAUGCAUAGCCGAGUUGAGAGACUGAUCGGCCACAAUGGGACUGAGACACGGCCCAUACUCCUACGGGAGGCAGCAGUAGGGAAUCUUCCACAAUGGGCGCAAGCCUGAUGGAGCAACACCGCGUGAGUGAAGAAGGGUUUCGGCUCGUAAAGCUCUGUUGUUAAAGAAGAACACGUAUGAGAGUAACUGUUCAUACGUUGACGGUAUUUAACCAGAAAGUCACGGCUAACUACGUGCCAGCANNCG
This 506-nucleotide ribosomal RNA is filed under the name Limosilactobacillus fermentum. RNAcentral describes it as "bacterial SSU rRNA". It matches the Rfam family "Bacterial small subunit ribosomal RNA", at positions 53 to 517 of the family's 1533-position model. The record is from RNAcentral. Lineage: Bacteria; Bacillati; Bacillota; Bacilli; Lactobacillales; Lactobacillaceae.